RNAcentral lists this transfer RNA (75 nucleotides) under Carnegiella strigata (marbled hatchetfish). RNAcentral describes it as "tRNA-Trp". It matches the Rfam family "tRNA". From Rfam's summary of the family: Transfer RNA (tRNA) molecules are approximately 80 nucleotides in length. The record is from RNAcentral. Lineage: Eukaryota; Metazoa; Chordata; Actinopteri; Characiformes; Gasteropelecidae.
AAAGACUUAGGUAAGUAAUAUUAAAACCGAAAGCCUUCAAAGCUUUAAGCAGGAGUGAAAAUCUCCUAGUCUUUG